This is a long non-coding RNA of Suricata suricatta (meerkat), 577 nucleotides long. RefSeq lists it as uncharacterized. The transcript is spliced from 4 exons. The record is from RefSeq and is a predicted model, not a curated record. Lineage: Eukaryota; Metazoa; Chordata; Mammalia; Carnivora; Herpestidae.
UUAUAGGGGAUGAUCAAGUAGAGCCACAAAGAAGCCAGUGGACUAAAGAGAGGUUGAGGUUGUGUGAUUUGAUCUCUUGAUCCACAAUUAAUACAGUUGCUAUAAAAAUAAGAGAGGAUAUGAGAAAAGAAAAAUGUUGAUAGGCAGAAUUAGAAAUUAGAAAUGGUUACUGUUUAGCUAUGAGAAAGAAGGACAUUCUUCCCAUUGUGACCAAAUAGGUAGACCUUGAACAUAUUAUACUAAGAAUUGUACCCGGAUGUCCACUUUUCAUUGAAAUAAAAGAAUGUUGAAGUAUUUAUACACAACCAAAUUACAUUAGCCAAAAAAUGUUCUGCUUCCUAACUGCUUUUCACCCAGACAGAUAGAAGGUCUGUUGAUGGCUACACAUUGCCUAAUGGUCAACAUCUGACAGACACGAUCCUCUCCACCUGUUUCCCGGGAACACUGGCACCUUAUCGUUUCUGUGGAAAGACGCUAUAGUUUGUUAUCCAGGAAAGUUCCAUCGCAAUUCUAACUUCAAUGGGUAUAAGUUGAUAAUUAACUUUUUUAAAAGUUCAUUUUCUUAUUUGUAAAAGGA